GCAAACUACUUAGGCGGAGUUAAAUAUAUUAUAUUAAAUAAAAUUAAAAAUAAAUUAUACUGCAUAAAUAUAAUUCACGUUAAUUUGUGUGCAGUGAAUUAAAUUGGAUCAAAUUAGCAUACCAAUUAAGACUAUUCCUACGAAUCCUCCAUUUCACUAAGUGGUGUACUGUUUAUCACGUGCCCAUACCAUGACUGGACGUUAUAGCGUUCCAGGUAACCAUGGAUCAAACUAAAGGGGGUUGAGUGUGAGAGCAGUUGUGUAUGAACAAUAUGUGGAGCAUGAAAUUUGUGGGGAGUUUUUUUCGACUUUAAAUACAAAAAUUGGUGGCGGAGAACUGUUGCUCCAAUUGUUUGUGAAAAAUUAAAUGUGUAUUGUUUUCUGAGCUUUUUGUCAAAUGGAUAGGUCUCUGCUUAGAGAGAGAGAGUAUUUUUCAGUUUAGUAUCAUUAAAAUUGUUGUUGUCUCAUCUUGAACGUGGAAAUAUUUGAUUCCAUGGCAUUGCCCUUGCUCCACUUAUCUCUAUAAAUACAUUUCCAUUUUCUAUUAUUUGUUUUAAAGGGUUAAGUUGUUCCUUUCCACCACUAAGCAUGAAAGCAGACUCGGUGUAUGUGCUGCUGUGAAUAAAUGCAAUGUAAAAAUUCUGAUGUUGAUAUUUUAGCGUCAACAGGGGGAUGAUGAUUCUGAACAGCAUGUUGAAUUUGCUGGCAGUAAUGUGCACCUCAUUACUGCCACAGAGGUCUGGGACCAGAAGGUGUCAGAAGCUAAUAAGGAUGGCAAAACUGUGAGUUUUACAUUGACUUCAUUUAUAGAACGUAAUGGACAUUAUUGGAACAUUUUAUGGGGCUCAUUGCACCAUGAUUGAUUGUCAUCUAUAUUGUGGACAUCUUGUGAUGGGACUGUGAAGGCCUUUGCUUUUAGAAAAUGUGAGAUGGUAACCUUCCAAGCAGUUAAAUUUAGGAACCAAAAUAAGAGAACUAGUAUGCUCAUUCUAAAUUUCCUUAGCAUUUGUCUCCCACCAAGAUGAUGAAUGCUUGCUUGCUUGCAGCUAUUGCACGAGCAAUUUUUUAAAUUGCUGCUGAAUUAAAAGUUUAUUUGAUCUGUUUGAUAAGUAUUAUUCUAUAAUGUAUUUUCAAUCUUUUACUGAAGAUAGAUGUUUCAGGUUUUGGUGAAUUUCAGCGCAACAUGGUGUGGUCCUUGUAGAAUGAUUGCACCAUUCUACCGUGAGUUGUCUGAGAAAUACCCUUCUCUGAUGUUCCUGUUGGUUGAUGUUGAUGAACUACCUGAAUUCAGCAGUUCAUGGGAUAUCAAAGCUACUCCGACCUUUUUCUUUCUAAGAGAUGGGAAGCAACUUGACAAGCUUGUUGGGGCCAACAAGCCAGAGCUACAGAAGAAGAUAACUGCUAUUGUAGACUCAGUGGCUGAUUGUGACAAAUGAAUUUUGUGGUGGUUCAUGUAUUUGAGAACACAGCAAUUAGCAUCUUUAUCCAUUGUGUUCUUAGUACUAUGGUUGUUAAUUGUGAGCCUUUGUCUGUAGAUUUGGCCUGUCUUGUAAAUACGGCUACAUGAAAAUUUUGGAAUGCGUAAACUGUGAAUGUGCAAUUCCACUGUAUUCUUCUACUAACAUUGCUCUGGAAAUUUAAAAUUUCUUCUCAUUUUUCAUGUCUAC
Molecule: unclassified non-coding RNA, 1667 nt
Filed under: Hevea brasiliensis (rubber tree)
Lineage: Eukaryota; Viridiplantae; Streptophyta; Magnoliopsida; Malpighiales; Euphorbiaceae
Source: RNAcentral